This 425-nucleotide ribosomal RNA is filed under the name uncultured bacterium. RNAcentral describes it as "partial 16S ribosomal RNA". It matches the Rfam family "Bacterial small subunit ribosomal RNA", at positions 354 to 796 of the family's 1533-position model. The record is from RNAcentral.
GUGGGGAAUCUUGCGCAAUGGGCGAAAGCCUGACGCAGCCAUGCCGCGUGAAUGAUGAAGGUCUUAGGAUUGUAAAAUUCUUUCACCGGGAACGAUAAUGACGGUACCCGGAGAAGAAGCCCCGGCUAACUUCGUGCCAGCAGCCGCGGUAAUACGAAGGGGGCUAGCGUUGCUCGGAAUUACUGGGCGUAAAGGGCGCGUAGGCGGACAGUUUAGUCAGAGGUGAAAGCCCAGGGCUCAACCUUGGAAUUGCCUUUGAUACUGGCUGUCUUGAGUACGGGAGAGGUGAGUGGAACUCCGAGUGUAGAGGUGAAAUUCGUAGAUAUUCGGAAGAACACCAGUGGCGAAGGCGACUCACUGGCCCGUUACUGACGCUGAGGCGCGAAAGCGUGGGGAGCAAACAGGAUUAGAAACCCGAGUAGUCC